AACGAACGCUGGCGGCAUGCCUAACACAUGCAAGUCGAACGAGACCUUCCGGUCUUUUUGCGCACGGGUGCUUAACGCGUGGUAACCUUCCCUUAGGUUCCGUAUAACUCCCCUUAAGGUGUGCUCAUACCGGUUAAUGUCUUCGGACCAAAGAUUUCUGGCCUUUGGUUGGGCCCGCGUUGGUUUCGCUAGUUGGUAGGGUAAAAGCCUACCAAGGCGACGAUCCAUAGCUGGUCUGAGAGGAUGAUCAGCCACACUGGGACUGAGACACGGCCCAGACUGGUACGGGAAGCAGGAGAGGGGAAUAUAGGAGAAGGGGCGAAAGGAUGAGCCAGCAAGGCCGCGUGAGUGAGGAAGGGGGUAGGGAAGUAAAGCUGUUUGAGACGGGAAGAGAAUGACAGUAACGGGAGAAUAAGCACCGGCUAACUACGUG
Molecule: ribosomal RNA, 433 nt
Filed under: uncultured bacterium
Lineage: Bacteria
Description: partial 16S ribosomal RNA
Rfam family: Bacterial small subunit ribosomal RNA
Source: RNAcentral